Molecule: ribosomal RNA, 456 nt
Filed under: uncultured bacterium
Lineage: Bacteria
Description: SSU rRNA
Rfam family: Bacterial small subunit ribosomal RNA
Source: RNAcentral
AGAAUCAACGCUGGCGGCGUGCCUAACACAUGCAAGUCGAACGAGAAAGGGUAGCAAUACCUGAGUAAAGUGGCGCACGGGUGAGUAACACGUGACUAACCUACCCUGGAGUGGGGGAUAACUGAGGGAAACCUUAGCUAAUACCGCAUAAUACCUACGGGUCAAAGGAGCAAUUCGCUUCAGGAGGGGGUCGCGGCCGAUUAGUUAGUUGGCGGGGUAAUGGCCCACCAAGACGAUGAUCGGUAUCCGGCCUGAGAGGGCGCACGGACACACUGGAACUGAAACACGGUCCAGACUCCUACGGGAGGCAGCAGUGGGAAUUUUGCGCAAUGGGGAAACCCUGACGCAGCAACGCCGCGUGGAGGAUGAAGUCCUUCGGGACGUAAACUCCUUUCGAUCGGGACGAUUAUGACGGUACCGGAAGAAGAAGCCCGGCUAACUCGCGUCAGCAGCCGC